RNAcentral lists this small RNA (27 nucleotides) under Bombyx mori (domestic silkworm). RNAcentral describes it as "ovarian small RNA-9509". Lineage: Eukaryota; Metazoa; Arthropoda; Insecta; Lepidoptera; Bombycidae. The record is from RNAcentral.
UUCAAUUUCCGAGGAGUCGGAGGGAGC